AUGUCAAAUAUACCCUUAAACACCUGUCGUUUAAACUCAUAGCCGUAAGUCUCGCGUUAUCGUUUCUAUCGUAUGCGAAUCUCGAGCGAAAUCGAAACAGCAAAGGCAAAGCGUAUUUCAUCGUCGCGUCGCACAACGAAUACGACGUUGGCCGCUCGCCGAUGUCGUCUCACGAGACCCGAGACGUUUUAUUUGCGGCUACGGUACUAUGAAGCGUAUUCAGAACCAACCUCUCGAUAAUAGCUUUUGUCGAUUAUCUUGAUAUCUGAGGUUAUAUAGUUCUCUAGUAGCGCGCAACUGCGCAGACGAUCGCGAUCGCGAUUGCGAAUCGAAGUUGGUGUCGAAGUUGACGGGACAUUCGUAAUACCGUUUCGACCGUAAAUAUUUUACUGAUAUUUUCGUGCUAUCACCAUGACGGAAGCUAAACAAUGGACAUCCAAGACGAAGAGGGUUUCACUGGGAGUUGGCGGUGCCUUGGUGGAGCUAACGCAGGAUCCUGAACGGGGUAGCUGGGCCAAUCCCAUCGAGUUUGUUCUAUCCUGCAUCGGGUAUGCCGUUGGCAUUGGCAAUGUUUGGCGUUUCCCUUACCUUGUAUAUCGUAAUGGCGGUGGUGCUUUUUUAAUUCCAUUCGUUUUAAUGCUGAUAACCAUGGGAUUGCCGAUAUUUUUUUUGGAACUCGCGAUUGGACAAUAUUCAGGACUUGGCCCUAACGAAGCGUUCACACGUAUGGCGCCGGCACUCGAGGGUCUCGGUUAUUGCACCCUCGUCGUCAUUUUGCUUGUAAUGGUCUACUACAUGGUGAUCGUUGCCUGGACACUUUUCUACACGUUCGUCUCGUUCGUGCCGAAGCUCGGUUGGGCCUACUGCGACAACGAUUUCAACACGAACGAUUGUUAUAGUGGCCUGCAAGGGAUCCAAUGUCAAACGAAUGAUCCGGAAACGAUAUUUUACAACAGGACUUGCGUAUCGGCCAGGCUUAUCUGCAAGAAUUUUGGUUUCGAGGAUGGCAACGUCACUCAUUGUUUCGAUACGAACAGAUUGGAACUUCUCCAACACCUUUAUACUCGCAUCCUUUCUUCGGAGGAAUAUUUCAACGACCGUGUAUUGGGUCUACGAGGUGCCACGUGGGAACAUUUUGGAGGCAUAAGAUGGGAAUUGUUAGGAUGUCUCACCCUCGCUUGGAUAGUCUGCUUCCUAUGCCUGAUGCGCGGUGUCCAGUCCAUUGGGAAGGUCGUCUACUUUACCGCACUUUUCCCUUACGUCAUGCUUACGGCGCUGCUGAUACGAGGUGUUACACUGGACGGUGCUGGUGACGGUUCUCUUUGGUUUAUUACGCUAAAAUGGUCAACACUGGAAUCAACUAGCGUAUGGGCAGAUGCUGCAUCCCAAGUUUUCUAUUCCCUUGGUAUCGGUUGUGGAUCUUUGAUCACUCUUUCGAGCUACAGUAAUUUCAAUAACAAUUGCCACAGAGACGCAAUUAUCGUGACGUUUACGAAUCUCGCAACGUCGAUCUUCGCCGGAUUCGUGAUUUUCUCCAUUAUGGGAUUCCUUGCCCGUCAAAUGGGCAUGCCAAUCGACGACGUGAUCAAAAGCGGGGCAGGCCUGGCUUUCAUCGCGUACCCAGAAGCCGUGGCACGGAUGCCGUUGCCCAAUCUCUGGGCAGUGUUGUUUUUCGUCAUGCUGUUCAUCCUGGGCAUCGGUAGCCAAGUGGUGUUCGUGUAUCAAAUAUGUACGUACGAGAUGCCUCGUUAUGGCGAGUACAUAUUCCCUGGCUGGGUGAAUGCGAUCGGAAUACUGAUCGGCCUGUCGACCCUCGCCCCGAUGCCGUUCUUUUUCAUCCGUCGCCUCUGGAAAGGUCCGAGGGACUGGAGUUUGUUUCGACCAAAGAAGACGUGGGGACCAGCUGUGGAGAAAGGUGCAGGUAACGGCAAUUCGUCCAUGGCGACCAUCAAGAUCUCGCAACCGUAUAGAAACGAACCGCAAGAGGAUUACAUUUAAUGAUUUUAACGAAUUCAUCUACUUUUUAGACGAUUCUAGUCACGUUAACGCGAAUGUUAAUCACCCGAUCCAAGCGUUCGAGAACGCUCUCUUCUCUACUCGGUUUUUUUUCUGUUAGAAAAGUUUUACAAAUAGAGUGAGGAUUUUUAUGCGUUUCUGUGAAACUUGCAAAAAUACACAGAAUGCAUGUAACUUCCAAAAACUUAUAAUUAAUUAUAAUAAUUUGCAAAAAUAUUUAAAACAUAGAACUUUCGAAAUAUUCGAGUCAUACACAGGUCGAAGUAGCCAAUUCCACUUUUCGAAAUUUUGGAAAUUUUAGCGAAGGUUCGAUCGAAACUUAUCUGAUAUAGUUUCAUCAAUUUUCUCUGCUCUUUGUUUCGUGGAAUUUCAUUUUUUCAUUUUUAGGCAAGUUGCGUUUUCUUAAUCGUAUUCGUAGAAAUAUCAAUUCGCAUAAAUCUCCGCUGUCUGUUCAUCGAUUAUCUUUGUUGUAUUCUCUUUCAUUCGCUUUUGUCUGAUGUGAAACGAAUUAAGAGCUUCCAUCAGAUAAAAGUCAGACUGGAAGUUUCAAGGAACCCGGCAGAUUUUUCGGGCGAGAACGAAGAGCUACGAUAUAUUAACGCUUCGGCCGAUUUCAUAUUUUCCAAUACUCGCUGUAAAACUUGGGAACUCUGUUUUCGUUGAAACUUUUAAAUUAAUGCUAGCGAACAGCCGCAGUGGGUAGCAUCAACUACAACGAGGUGCGUGUGUUAUAGCAUUUCGCUAGCUGUUUCAAAGCAACGUUUUAAUUUCUAUGUCCAUGUGAACACGCUAACGCGUACCAACGAUAUUAAUGAAUUUGCAAUUUUUACCUGAAAAGAACUCAUCGGUUCGUUUUGAUGUUUCGUUCUUUGCAUUUCAAACAGGGAAUGUAUCGGCAAUUCCACUGGAAUACCGAGCGUGUGCAAAAUUCGAUAUGCGUUCCGAUGUCAACUUAUUUUUUCCAGAAUCCGUAAUUAUUCCAUAAUUGGGAUCGUGAAAUACUUACAGUUUACGACAUCCUUUUUAAAAUUAUCACCACAAUAUCGACCGACCAAAUAUAAAACUAUCAAUCUUGGUUUAUGCGCUGUAUCAAAAUCACAGUUUUCUAGCCUCUUUUUCGCUAUACGUGAUACUUUGAAAAUUGACUUGUUUAGUCCCCGAUACUCGAGUGAACGGAAUACGAGGUCGACUUCAAUUGCAUGAUUCGGCUCAUGUAAUCGAAGCGGCGAAGUUACUCUAUACUGUAUACAACUAUACGUGGUCUUGUAAUAAAGCACGGUCUGCUACAUCGGUUGCAUCCGAGCGUGUGCUGUAGCGUGCACGAAGGGACGACGUACAAUAGUGGUGUCGCGUUAUGAUCACCGGUCACGCCGGUGGAAAAGUGGCGAAUGUCGCUCGCAUUCGUCCCGUGUUCCCUCCUAAUUAAUGCGAUGGAACAUCUCCGGUACAAGGAAUUCCGUGUCCUCCGCGCGGCGUGGCAAUAUCGUGUGGCCGUCUCGACCGCUUGUACUCCGUCUUAUGGGGAAUGUAGGGACGGCGAGAGUGUGCGGCUUGCAACGGUGCGUUAAUGAGAAUUUCGCUCGAUCACCGCCUCGAUUCACAACGCGUGCCUCACCGAUUCAACCCCGCAGCAACGGCGACUUUUUGCCCACGAAUAUGAACCCGUAAAAUUGCCUCUCGAUCCCUGAAUUAUCCUUCCCAUGAAUUUUUAUAAGCCCGACGCGUUUCGUCGGCUGCGCGUUUCACAGGAUCCGUAGACGCUUCGUAUAUGCUAGACGCGGGUAUUUGGGAGACAAAUUUUGAACGGAUCGAUCCUGUUAUAAGAAAUCUGUUCCUUGGUUCGUUGCAGUAAGAAAAGUAAUGGCGUUUUCACGAAUUUAUGGGCAAUUUAGAGAUGAACAAAUGUGCAGAAUAUAAGUAAGAUGUAAAAAUGUAUGAAAUAUCUAAAAUA
Bombus impatiens (common eastern bumble bee) is the source of this 3967-nucleotide RNA transcript. It is a transcript of the gene named sodium- and chloride-dependent glycine transporter 2-like, with no coding region annotated. The transcript is spliced from 10 exons. The record is from RefSeq and is a predicted model, not a curated record. Lineage: Eukaryota; Metazoa; Arthropoda; Insecta; Hymenoptera; Apidae.